This 512-nucleotide small RNA is filed under the name Cladosporium sp. 0911TES28B1. RNAcentral's name for it is "eukaryotic LSU rRNA". The stretch from base 185 to 338 matches the Rfam family "5.8S ribosomal RNA". The record is from RNAcentral. Lineage: Eukaryota; Fungi; Ascomycota; Dothideomycetes; Cladosporiales; Cladosporiaceae.
UCCGUAGGUGAACCUGCGGAGGGAUCAUUACAAGUGACCCCGGCUACGGCCGGGAUGUUCAUAACCCUUUGUUGUCCGACUCUGUUGCCUCCGGGGCGACCCUGCCUUCGGGCGGGGGCUCCGGGUGGACACUUCAAACUCUUGCGUAACUUUGCAGUCUGAGUAAACUUAAUUAAUAAAUUAAAACUUUUAACAACGGAUCUCUUGGUUCUGGCAUCGAUGAAGAACGCAGCGAAAUGCGAUAAGUAAUGUGAAUUGCAGAAUUCAGUGAAUCAUCGAAUCUUUGAACGCACAUUGCGCCCCCUGGUAUUCCGGGGGGCAUGCCUGUUCGAGCGUCAUUUCACCACUCAAGCCUCGCUUGGUAUUGGGCAACGCGGUCCGCCGCGUGCCUCAAAUCGUCCGGCUGGGUCUUCUGUCCCCUAAGCGUUGUGGAAACUAUUCGCUAAAGGGUGUUCGGGAGGCUACGCCGUAAAACAACCCCAUUUCUAAGGUGACCUCCGAUCAGGUACGCA